This 470-nucleotide ribosomal RNA is filed under the name uncultured bacterium. RNAcentral describes it as "bacterial SSU rRNA". It matches the Rfam family "Bacterial small subunit ribosomal RNA", at positions 11 to 525 of the family's 1533-position model. The record is from RNAcentral.
GUUUGAUCCUGGCUCAGAGCGAACGCUGGCGGCAGGCCUAACACAUGCAAGUCGAGCGGCCGUAGCAAUACGGCAGCGGCAGACGGGAGAGUAACACGUGGGAACGCGCCCUUCGGUUCGGAAUAACUCAGGGAAACUUGGGCUAAUACCGGAUACGCCCUUACGGGGAAAGAUUUAUUGCCGAAGGAACGGCCCGCGUCCGAUUAGCUAGUUGGUGAGGUAAUGGCUCACCAAGGCGACGAUCGGUAGCUGGUCUGAGAGGAUGACCAGCCUCACUGGGACUGAGACACGGCCCAGACUCCUACGGGAGGCAGCAGUGGGGAAUAUUGGACAAUGGGCGCAAGCCUGAUCCAGCCAUGCCGCGUGGGUGAUGAAGGCCCUAGGGUUGUAAAGCCCUUUCAGCGGGGAAGAUAAUGACGGUACCCGCAGAAGAAGCCCCGGCUAACUUCGUGCCAGCAGCCGCGGUAAUA